GCGGCAGGCCUAACACAUGCAAGUCGAACGGUAACAGGAAGAAGCUUGCUUCUUUGCUGACGAGUGGCGGACGGGUGAGUAAUGUCUGGGAAACUGCCUGAUGGAGGGGGAUAACUACUGGAAACGGUAGCUAAUACCGCAUAACGUCGCAAGACCAAAGAGGGGGACCUUCGGGCCUCUUGCCAUCGGAUGUGCCCAGAUGGGAUUAGCUUGUUGGUGGGGUAACGGCUCACCAAGGCGACGAUCCCUAGCUGGUCUGAGAGGAUGACCAGCCACACUGGAACUGAGACACGGUCCAGACUCCUACGGGAGGCAGCAGUGGGGAAUAUUGCACAAUGGGCGCAAGCCUGAUGCAGCCAUGCCGCGUGUAUGAAGAAGGCCUUCGGGUUGUAAAGUACUUUCAGCGGGGAGGAAGGGAGUAAAGUUAAUACCUUUGCUCAUUGACGUUACCCGCAGAAGAAGCACCGGCUAACUCCGUGCCAGCAGCCGCGGUAAUACGGAGGGUGCAAGCGUUAAUCGGAAUUACUGGGCGUAAAGCGCACGCAGGCGGUUUGUUAAGUCAGAUGAGAAAUCCCCGGGCUCAACCUGGGAACUGCAUCUGAUACUGGCAAGCUUGAGUCUCGUAGAGGGGGGUAGAAUUCCAGGUGUAGCGGUGAAAUGCGUAGAGAUCUGGAGGAAUACCGGUGGCGAAGGCGGCCCCCUGGACGAAGACUGACGCUCAGGUGCGAGAGCGUGGGGAGCAAACAGGAUUAGAUACCCUGGUAGUCCACGCCGUAAACGAUGUCGACUUGGAGGUUGUGCCCUUGAGGCGUGGCUUCCGGAGCUAACGCGUUAAGUCGACCGCCUGGGGAGUACGGCCGCAAGGUUAAAACUCAAAUGAAUUGACGGGGGCCCGCACAAGCGGUGGAGCAUGUGGUUUAAUUCGAUGCAACGCGAAGAACCUUACCUGGUCUUGACAUCCACGGAGGUUUUCAGAGAUGAGAAUGUGCCUUCGGGAACCGUGAGACAGGUGCUGCAUGGCUGUCGUCAGCUCGUGUUGUGAAAUGUUGGGUUAAGUCCCGCAACGAGCGCAACCCUUAUCCUUUGUUGCCAGCGGUCCGGCCGGGAACUCAAAGGAGACUGCCAGUGAUAAACUGGAGGAAGGUGGGGAUGACGUCAAGUCAUCAUGGCCCUUACGACCAGGGCUACACACGUGCUACAAUGGCGCAUACAAAGAGAAGCGACCUCGCGAGAGCAAGCGGACCUCAUAAAGUGCGUCGUAGUCCGGAUUGGAGUCUGCAACUCGACUCCAUGAAGUCGGAAUCGCUAGUAAUCGUGGAUCAGAAUGCCACGGUGAAUACGUUCCCGGGCCUUGUACACACCGCCCGUCACACCAUGGGAGUGGGUUGCAAAAGAAGUAGGUAGCUUAACCUUCGGGAGGGCGCUUACCACUUUGUGAUUCAUGACUGGGGUGAAGUC
This 1458-nucleotide ribosomal RNA is filed under the name uncultured bacterium. Its description in RNAcentral is "bacterial SSU rRNA". It matches the Rfam family "Bacterial small subunit ribosomal RNA". The record is from RNAcentral.